Long non-coding RNA from Trachemys scripta elegans, 798 nucleotides. RefSeq lists it as uncharacterized. NCBI's taxonomy places the organism in Eukaryota, Metazoa, Chordata, Testudines, Emydidae. The record is from RefSeq and is a predicted model, not a curated record. The transcript is spliced from 3 exons.
GCUGUAUAGGGAUUUGAUGGUAAUACUAACUAACAUUUUUGCUUGUUCUUGAACCUGAAGGCCCAAACACACAUGAGGGGGAACAGAACAAGUAUGUGCCUGCAACACUUUAUCCCAUAGUGAAAGUACAGUCAAAACAUGAGAGAUCCUUCGACCAGAGGGAAAACAAGCUGAAAAGGAAAGAGACACCUGAAAAGGAAAAUUCACCAGCAUCAGUGACUGAUGGAUGGAUGAAGCCCUGCCUGGGCAACUUCUCUGACAAUGCUUUAGUCAGAGCUACAAAGACAUCUCCUCCAGAACUGCCAACGAACCAGGAAUCUUCUUUGAGACCUUUAACAACGCAAAACAGCACAAGAGUGCAGCUGAAGCAUCCGGGCAGUCCAAACCUCAUAUAUGUCAAACCCAAGGACAAAACAAAAGACUCUGGUAAAAAAAACAACCAUGCCACCACAACUCCAGUUCCUCAGCGGCCACCACCACACCAAGUCCCGAGGAAACUGUGAGCGAAAACACCCACAUUCACAAACCCAGAGCACGCACUCUAGGGGUUCUGAAUGUGCACAAACCCGGAGCAUGCGCUCUAAGGGCUGCAUUUAAAAAACCAAGGACUAAAAGCUUCUGUGAUGCUGAGGUAUUGCAAUCACACAACCAGCACUCUAGUUCCUCAGCGGCCACCAUCACACCAAGCCCUGAAGAAACUGUGAGUGAAAAUGCCCACAUUCACAAAUCCGGAGCAUGCGCUCUAGGGGUUGUGAAUAAAAAACCAAGAACUGACAAACCAUUCUCCCAAACCAUAAG